CCAUCACUCCAUCAUUCCACACUCAACACUACACUCCAUCUCCUCCCUCCUUCCCCAAAUCGGCAGCCAUCAACCACCACCCUACCACCAUCAUUCGACCUUGUUCCAUCCAUUCUAUUACCAUACAAGGGUGCAAGGAGACACACAACGAAGCUUGGUGCGUUCGGAAGUCGAAGGACCGCUCUCGUUUUCUUUUAUCCACCACUUUUCUACACUCGAACUCCUCUAGCCUUGUGCUAGUACAACUUAAGCUGAAUUUUUCUGCUGAAAAUGUGCGGCGGAUAAACAAUUGAGGGAUUGUGUUAACGUUUAAAAACGCACCCGAAGGUGAGUACAUAGUUCCCCUAUUUUACUGUUUUCAAUUGUUUUGGGGUGAUUCAUAUGUAUCAAAACGAUUUCGAUGUU
This 405-nucleotide long non-coding RNA is filed under the name Helianthus annuus (common sunflower). RNAcentral describes it as "sRNA HanXRQr2_Chr15g0718321". The record is from RNAcentral. Lineage: Eukaryota; Viridiplantae; Streptophyta; Magnoliopsida; Asterales; Asteraceae.